CAGCCGCCGCGGGAAAACGUAGGGUGCAAGCGUUAAUCGGAAUUACUGGGCGUAAAGCGUGCGCAGGCGGUUAUAUAAGACAGAUGUGAAAUCCCCGGGCUCAACCUGGGAACUGCAUUUGUGACUGUAUAGCUAGAGUACGGCAGAGGGGGAUGGAAUUCCGCGUGUAGCAGUGAAAUGCGUAGAUAUGCGGAGGAACACCGAUGGCGAAGGCAAUCCCCUGGGCCUGUACUGACGCUCAUGCACGAAAGCGUGGGGAGCAAACAGGAUUAGAUACCCCCGUAGUCCCUGUCUCUUAUAU
This 301-nucleotide ribosomal RNA is filed under the name uncultured bacterium. RNAcentral's name for it is "partial 16S ribosomal RNA". It matches the Rfam family "Bacterial small subunit ribosomal RNA", at positions 509 to 809 of the family's 1533-position model. The record is from RNAcentral.